Molecule: ribosomal RNA, 492 nt
Filed under: uncultured bacterium
Lineage: Bacteria
Description: partial 16S ribosomal RNA
Rfam family: Bacterial small subunit ribosomal RNA
Source: RNAcentral
AGUGAACGCUGGCGGUAGGCCUAACACAUGCAAGUCGAACGGCAGCACAGUAAGAGCUUGCUCUUACGGGUGGCGAGUGGCGGACGGGUGAGGAAUACAUCGGAAUCUACUUUUUCGUGGGGGAUAACGUAGGGAAACUUACGCUAAUACCGCAUACGACCUACGGGUGAAAGCAGGGGAUCUUCGGACCUUGCGCGAUUGAAUGAGCCGAUGUCGGAUUAGCUAGUUGGCGGGGUAAAGGCCCACCAAGGCGACGAUCCGUAGCUGGUCUGAGAGGAUGAUCAGCCACACUGGAACGGAGACACGGUCCAGACUCCUACGGGAGGCAGCAGUGGGGAAUAUUGGACAAUGGGCGCAAGCCUGAUCCAGCCAUACCGCGUGGGUAAAGAAGGCCUUCGGGUUGUAAAGCCCUUUUGUUGGGAAAGAAAAGCAGCAGGUUAAUACCCCGCUGUUCUGACGGUACCCAACGAAUAAGCACCGGCUAACUUCGUG